This is a long non-coding RNA of Zalophus californianus (California sea lion), 579 nucleotides long. RefSeq lists it as uncharacterized. The record is from RefSeq and is a predicted model, not a curated record. The transcript is spliced from 5 exons. Lineage: Eukaryota; Metazoa; Chordata; Mammalia; Carnivora; Otariidae.
CGCUGCUAACGGGUCACUGGGCGGGCCUAGGUUUGGGGGUGAGGCCUCAGAGACUUCGAGGAAAAGAAAAGGAACGCAAACACUAGGUCGUGAUCGGCUGGAGCCUCCCUUGACAGCCUCUAAAGGGAUAUCUUCUCCCAUUCUGUCGGCUGUCUUCUGGUUUUGUUGGCUGUUUCAGAGACAACAUUUCUAAGGUAAGAAUCAACGGUGUGACGUCCAGUCGGGACCUGCUGAGGGUCCUGAUGUUGACCACCUGUGGAAACCAGAUGCUUGCUUAUGCCGCCAGUGUCAACAGUGCCUUACCUCUUCCCUCCAUCUCAAUCAUCACGAAAAAAGUCCUUGGACACUUACCACCAAGUCUUCCAGUGUCCAUCUGUGAAAUGCCUACUGAACCCACCUCUCUCAUUCCCUCAUCACCACUGGCCUAGCUGAGAAGUCCACCAUCGUCUGUUGUCAAGAACUUGUUCCUGAUUUAAUUGUGGUCCUUGUGAGAAAUCUGAACCAACUCCAUACCCCAUAAUAUCGUGAGUAUGGACAACAGACUCAGUUGAUUCUGGCCACUAAUGUGUUUCAAUAAAU